RNAcentral lists this ribosomal RNA (493 nucleotides) under uncultured bacterium. RNAcentral's name for it is "bacterial SSU rRNA". It matches the Rfam family "Bacterial small subunit ribosomal RNA", at positions 17 to 518 of the family's 1533-position model. The record is from RNAcentral.
CUAUGGCUCAGGAUGAACGCUGGCGGCGUGCUUAACACAUGCAAGUCGAACGAAGCAACUAUCUUGCUUGCAAGAGAGUUGACUUAGUGGCGGACGGGUGAGUAACGCGUAGGUAACCUGCCUCAUACAGGGGGAUAACAGUUGGAAACGACUGCUAAGACCGCAUAACCCGCUAGUGUCGCAUGACACGGACGGAAAAUAUUUAUAGGUAUGAGAUGGGCCCGCGUCUGAUUAGCUAGUUGGUAAGGUAACGGCUUACCAAGGCGACGAUCAGUAGCCGACUUGAGAGAGUGAUCGGCCACAUUGGGACUGAGACACGGCCCAAACUCCUACGGGAGGCAGCAGUGGGGAAUAUUGGACAAUGGGGGAAACCCUGAUCCAGCGAACCGCCGCGUGAGUGAAGAAGUAUUUCGGUAUGUAAAGCUCUAUCAGCAGGGAAGAUAAUGACAGUACCUGACUAAGAAGCCCCGGCUAACUACGUGCCAGCAGCCGC